AUUGAACGCUGGCGGCAGGCCUAACACAUGCAAGUCGAGCGGUAACACAGGGAGCUUGCUCCUGGGUGACGAGCGGCGGACGGGUGAGUAAUGUCUGGGAAACUGCCUGAUGGAGGGGGAUAACUACUGGAAACGGUAGCUAAUACCGCAUAACGUCGCAAGACCAAAGAGGGGGACCUUCGGGCCUCUUGCCAUCAGAUGUGCCCAGAUGGGAUUAGCUAGUAGGUGGGGUAACGGCUCACCUAGGCGACGAUCCCUAGCUGGUCUGAGAGGAUGACCAGCCACACUGGAACUGAGACACGGUCCAGACUCCUACGGGAGGCAGCAGUGGGGAAUAUUGCACAAUGGGCGCAAGCCUGAUGCAGCCAUGCCGCGUGUAUGAAGAAGGCCUUCGGGUUGUAAAGUACUUUCAGCGGGGAGGAAGGCGUUGAGGUUAAUAACCUCAGCGAUUGACGUUACCCGCAGAAGAAGCACCGGCUAACUCCGUGCCAGCAGCCGCGGUAAUACGGAGGGUGCAAGCGUUAAUCGGAAUUACUGGGCGUAAAGCGCACGCAGGCGGUCUGCCAAGUCGGAUGUGAAAUCCCCGGGCUCAACCUGGGAACUGCAUUCGAAACUGGCAGGCUAGAGUCUUGUAGAGGGGGGUAGAAUUCCAGGUGUAGCGGUGAAAUGCGUAGAGAUCUGGAGGAAUACCGGUGGCGAAGGCGGCCCCCUGGACAAAGACUGACGCUCAGGUGCGAAAGCGUGGGGAGCAAACAGG
This 757-nucleotide ribosomal RNA is filed under the name uncultured Enterobacteriaceae bacterium. Its description in RNAcentral is "bacterial SSU rRNA". It matches the Rfam family "Bacterial small subunit ribosomal RNA", at positions 28 to 776 of the family's 1533-position model. Lineage: Bacteria; Pseudomonadati; Pseudomonadota; Gammaproteobacteria; Enterobacterales; Enterobacteriaceae. The record is from RNAcentral.